AUGAACCAGACCCAUCCCUGGCCAUGGAGGAACACCCAACCUAACUGGAGAGACAAAGGUGGAGAAGGAGAGAGGACUGGGCUUGUGUCGGCUUUGGGGUUCCACCAUCUUGGAACCUGUGCUUCUGGUUUGCCUGGGAAUGCAAGGUGUUUGGAGACUGCCCAGCAAAUAUCAACUGGGGGCUUGGCUGUGUUGCCUUGGGCUUGUUGUUGCUCAGGGACUCAGGCCAACAGAGCAACCAUCACCUGGAAUGUCAUCUAUUGCCAUUACAGGGGAUUUCUGCUUUGGCAUCUUCCUCAUAUUCUCUUGCCACCACCAUGUGAGAAGUACCUUUCACCUCCUGCCAUGAUUCUGAGGCCUCCCCAGCCAUUGGAACUGAUGAUCUGUGACUUGCUUUGGCCAAUAGAUUGCAGAGAAAGUUAUGCUGUGCCAGUUCUGAUUCUAGGCCGCCAGAGGCCUUGCAGGCUACUGCACCCCAUGAGGAUGUGGCCAGGCAAGCCUGCUGCAGAAAAGAGACCACAGAGAGUACAGAAGAGCCACAUCAGCUGA
RNAcentral lists this long non-coding RNA (549 nucleotides) under Papio anubis (olive baboon). Its description in RNAcentral is "lncRNA (ENSPANG00000048085.1)". The record is from RNAcentral. Lineage: Eukaryota; Metazoa; Chordata; Mammalia; Primates; Cercopithecidae.